This 96-nucleotide ribosomal RNA is filed under the name Clostridium perfringens. RNAcentral's name for it is "partial 16S ribosomal RNA". It matches the Rfam family "Bacterial small subunit ribosomal RNA", at positions 1444 to 1533 of the family's 1533-position model. Lineage: Bacteria; Bacillati; Bacillota; Clostridia; Eubacteriales; Clostridiaceae. The record is from RNAcentral.
AGGAGGCAGCGGCCGAAGGUAGGGUCAGCGAUUGGGGUGAAGUCGUAACAAGGUAGCCGUAGGAGAACCUGCGGCUGGAUCACCUCCUUUCUAAGG